UACGAAGGGGGCUAGCGUUGCUCGGAAUCACUGGGCGUAAAGCGUACGUAGGCGGAUCGCUAAGUCAGGGGUGAAAUCCUGGAGCUCAACUCCAGAACUGCCUUUGAUACUGGCAAUCUCGAGUCCGGGAGAGGUGAGUGGAACUGCGAGUGUAGAGGUGAAAUUCGUAGAUAUUCGCAAGAACACCAGUGGCGAAGGCGGCUCACUGGCCCGGUACUGACGCUGAGGUACGAAAGCGUGGGGAGCAAACAGG
Molecule: ribosomal RNA, 253 nt
Filed under: uncultured bacterium
Lineage: Bacteria
Description: partial 16S ribosomal RNA
Rfam family: Bacterial small subunit ribosomal RNA
Source: RNAcentral